AACGAACGCUGGCGGCAUGCCUAACACAUGCAAGUCGAACGAGACCUUCGGGUCUAGUGGCGCACGGGUGCGUAACGCGUGGGAACCUGCCCUUAGGUUCGGAAUAACUCCCCGAAAGGGGUGCUAAUACCGGAUAAUGUCUUCGGACCAAAGAUUUAUCGACUUUGGAUGGGCCCGCGUUGGCUUAGCUAGUUGGUAGGGUAAAAGCCUACCAAGGCGACGAUCCAUAGCUGGUCUGAGAGGAUGAUCAGCCACACUUGGACUGAGACACGGCCCAGACUCCUACGGGAGGCAGCAGUGGGGAAUACUGGACAAUGGGCGAAAGCCUGAUCCAGCAAUGCCGCGUGAGUGAUGAAGGCCUGAGGGUUGUAAAGCUCUUUUACCCGGGAUGAUAAUGACAGUACCGGGAGAAUAAGCUCCGGCUAACUCCGUG
Molecule: ribosomal RNA, 433 nt
Filed under: uncultured bacterium
Lineage: Bacteria
Description: partial 16S ribosomal RNA
Rfam family: Bacterial small subunit ribosomal RNA
Source: RNAcentral